Long non-coding RNA from Erinaceus europaeus (western European hedgehog), 694 nucleotides. RefSeq lists it as uncharacterized. The transcript has 2 exons. Lineage: Eukaryota; Metazoa; Chordata; Mammalia; Eulipotyphla; Erinaceidae. The record is from RefSeq and is a predicted model, not a curated record.
GUACUAUGUACACCCAUUUUUUAUUGUUUUUUUUAUUUCUUAUUGGGGGGAUUAAUGUUUUACAGUCAACAGUGAAUACGAUAGAUUGUACAUGCAUAACAUUUCCCAGUUUUCCACAUAGAAUACAACCCCACCAGGACCUCUGCCACCCUCGUCCAUGUUCUUUGUGGGAUUUCACUUUGUCCCGAGACGGAGUGCCUGCAGUGUUUCUGUGUUUUGCACACUCAACUGGGCUUUUGGGACCUGGAGCUGGUGCCGUGGUGAUAAUGGCAGGGUUCUCCUUUGUUGAUAAGUUAUGGUCAGGAGGAGGUCAGCAAGGGGGCAGGUGAACUGGCUGGCCCUGCCCGAGAGGACCGGGUCUCCGCCCCACACCCUGGGUCAGUUACACGCAUUCUCCUCUCUCUGUGUUCAGCCUGAGAGGUCAGUUUCCUGCCCAGUGCAGAGAGGCAGCCAUUACCUUCUCUCUGCAGCUGUUCUAACCCUCUUCAUUCCCCACCAGGCUUGGACACCUCAGCAGACUGACCACUCCAGGCUCGGCUGCCAGUUUUCAGACUGUUUCUGUCUCAGAGGUGAGUGCCAGUAGGAAGUGUAGUUCUUUGACUUUCUCGGGAGGCUGCUGGGCCUUUCCUGUGGGGUAACCUCUCCGCAUCAGAGUGCCGGCCUCCUAAUACAUCUCCUGAUGGAUGCCUCUCCC